UUUCCUAACUCAGAGAUAAAGGCGGAGUGUCUACGUAAUGUCUCCUCAACAAAGCGCCCUAAAUCCUCACUGGGAACCAUCUGGAAUCACCCCGCAAAGCUUCGGGGAGUUCCUCCGGAGUCUGGGGAUUUAACAGAACUACUGCAAGCGAGCGCCUGCGGGCCCCUGCUCUCUCAGGCGCACGCCCUGCACCGCACUGCUGCCCACGUCAGGACUACGAGUGCGAGCGCCUGCGGGCUACUGCUCUCUCAGGUGCACGCCCUGCACCGCACAGCUGCCCACGUAAGGACUACGAGUGCGAGCGCCUGCGGGCCCCUGCUCUCUCAGGUGCACGCCCUGCACCGUACAGCUCCCUACGUCAGGAACACGCGCGCCAGGGCCUACAAAUGGGGCGGCUGCUCUAUCUCCCGCCUCGGGGCGUGCCUACACCGCCCCGCGCGUCAAACUGCACCGGGCUUCGCGGCCCCGUGCGUGAUUAGCCCCGUCUUCCAGGGCUCCCUAGGUUUUCUGUGUCGCUGGCUCCCCGCUGCGGCACCCAGUCCCUUGCAUCCCUCCCGCCACGCACACCAGAGGAAGGCGGAAUCUAGUGAGUCCCGUCACGUGGGCGCUGGGUGAGCAGAAGCGGUCUGCGCAGAGGACAUCUGCGCAGUGUAGUGAGUGCCCGCGCUUCGCCGGCCUUGGCGCCCGCAGCCUGAGUGGAAAAUUUUCAGGAGGCGUACUGAGGCUGCGCGGUGCUGGCCACUCCCCUUCCCUCGGGGGGCCUCCUUCCCCCACCCCCACCCCGGGGAACAGCC
RNAcentral lists this long non-coding RNA (794 nucleotides) under Cricetulus griseus (Chinese hamster). Its description in RNAcentral is "lncRNA (ENSCGRG00000024861.1)". Lineage: Eukaryota; Metazoa; Chordata; Mammalia; Rodentia; Cricetidae. The record is from RNAcentral.